Molecule: ribosomal RNA, 429 nt
Filed under: Fusobacteriota bacterium
Lineage: Bacteria; Fusobacteriati; Fusobacteriota
Description: Fusobacteria bacterium partial 16S ribosomal RNA
Rfam family: Bacterial small subunit ribosomal RNA
Source: RNAcentral
UGGGGAAUAUUUCGCAAUGGGCGAAAGCCUGACGCAGCGACGCCGCGUGAGGGAUGAAGGUUUUCGGAUCGUAAACCUCUGUCAGAAGGGAAGAAACCGCACUGUGCUAAUCAGCAGUGCCUUGACGGUACCUUCAAAGGAAGCACCGGCUAACUCCGUGCCAGCAGCCGCGGUAAUACGGAGGGUGCAAGCGUUAAUCGGAAUUACUGGGCGUAAAGCGCACGUAGGCUGCUUUGUAAGUCAGGGGUGAAAUCCCACGGCUCAACCGUGGAACUGCCUUUGAUACUGCUUAGCUUGAAUCCGGGAGAGGGUGGCGGAAUUCCAGGUGUAGGAGUGAAAUCCGUAGAUAUCUGGAGGAACAUCAGUGGCGAAGGCGGCCACCUGGACCGGUAUUGACGCUGAGGUGCGAAAGCGUGGGGAGCAAACAGG